Molecule: ribosomal RNA, 345 nt
Filed under: uncultured archaeon
Lineage: Archaea
Description: bacterial SSU rRNA
Rfam family: Archaeal small subunit ribosomal RNA
Source: RNAcentral
CCGACGGUGAGGGGUGAAAGCUGGGGGAGCAAACCGGAUUAGAUACCCGGGUAGUCCCAGCUGUAAACGAUGCGCGUUAGGUGUAUCAGUGACCACGAGUCACUGAGGUGCCGAGGAGAAAUCGCGAAACGUGCCGCCUGGGAAGUACGGUCGCAAGGCUGAAACUUAAAGGAAUUGGCGGGGGAGCACCACAACAGGUGGAGCCUGCGGUUUAAUCGGACUCAACGCCGGGAAACUCACCAGUUAAGACAGCUGAAUGAUAGUCGGGCUGAAGACUCUACUUGACUAGCUGAGAGGAGGUGCAUGGCCGUCGUCAGUUCGUACUGUGAAGCAUCCUGUUAAGUC